RNAcentral lists this ribosomal RNA (701 nucleotides) under Acinetobacter sp. 397. RNAcentral describes it as "bacterial SSU rRNA". It matches the Rfam family "Bacterial small subunit ribosomal RNA", at positions 33 to 728 of the family's 1533-position model. The record is from RNAcentral. Lineage: Bacteria; Pseudomonadati; Pseudomonadota; Gammaproteobacteria; Moraxellales; Moraxellaceae.
ACGCUGGCGGCAGGCUUAACACAUGCAAGUCGAGCGGGGAAGGGUAGCUUGCUACCUAACCUAGCGGCGGACGGGUGAGUAAUGCUUAGGAAUCUGCCAUUUAGUGGGGGACAACAUUCCGAAAGGAAUGCUAAUACCGCAUACGUCCUACGGGAGAAAGCAGGGGAUCUUCGGACCUUGCGCUAAAUGAUGAGCCUAAGUCGGAUUAGCUAGUUGGUGGGGUAAAGGCCUACCAAGGCGACGAUCUGUAGCGGGUCUGAGAGGAUGAUCCGCCACACUGGGACUGAGACACGGCCCAGACUCCUACGGGAGGCAGCAGUGGGGAAUAUUGGACAAUGGGCGGAAGCCUGAUCCAGCCAUGCCGCGUGUGUGAAGAAGGCCUUAUGGUUGUAAAGCACUUUAAGCGAGGAGGAGGCUACCUAGAUUAAUACUCUAGGAUAGUGGACGUUACUCGCAGAAUAAGCACCGGCUAACUCUGUGCCAGCAGCCGCGGUAAUACAGAGGGUGCGAGCGUUAAUCGGAUUUACUGGGCGUAAAGCGUGCGUAGGCGGCUUUUUAAGUCGGAUGUGAAAUCCCCGAGCUUAACUUGGGAAUUGCAUUCGAUACUGGGAAGCUAGAGUAUGGGAGAGGAUGGUAGAAUUCCAGGUGUAGCGGUGAAAUGCGUAGAGAUCUGGAGGAAUACCGAUGGCGAAGGCAGCCAU